CCUACGGGGGGCAGCAGUGGGGAAUAUUGCACAAUGGGGGAAACCCUGAUGCAGCGACGCCGCGUGAGUGAAGAAGUAUCUCGGUACGUAAAGCUCUAUCAGCAGGGAAGAUAAUGACGGUAACUGACCAAGAAGGCCCUGCUAACUACGUGCCAGCAGCCGCGGGAAUACGUAGGGGGCACGCGUUAUCCGGAUUUACGGGGUGUAAAGGUAGCGGGGACGGCAGAACAAGUCUGGCGUGAACUCCCGGGUCUUAACCCCGGAACUGCUUUGGAAACUGUGCAGCUGGAGUGCAGUGGGGGUAAGCGGAAUUCCUAGUGUAGCGGUGAAAUGCGCAGAGAUUAGGAGGAACACCGGUGGCGAAGGCGGCUUACUGGACUGUAACUGACGUUGAGGCGCGAAAGCGUGGGGAGCAAACAGGAUUAGAUACCCGAGUAGUC
This 440-nucleotide ribosomal RNA is filed under the name uncultured bacterium. Its description in RNAcentral is "partial 16S ribosomal RNA". It matches the Rfam family "Bacterial small subunit ribosomal RNA", at positions 338 to 795 of the family's 1533-position model. The record is from RNAcentral.